GAACGAGGUAGACGAAGCGACCUGGAAAGGUCCGUCGUAGAGGGUAACAACCCCGUAGUCGAAACUUCGUUCUCUCUUGAAUGUAUCCUGAGUACGGCGGAACACGUGAAAUUCCGUCGGAAUCUGGGAGGACCAUCUCCCAAGGCUAAAUACUCCCUAGUGAUCGAUAGUGAACCAGUACCGUGAGGGAAAGGUGAAAAGCACCCCGGAAGGGGAGUGAAAGAGAUCCUGAAACCGUGUGCCUACAAAUAGUCAGAGCCCGUUAAUGGGUGAUGGCGUGCCUGUUGUAGAAUGAACCGGCGAGUUACGAUCCCGGGCGAGGUUAAGCUGAAGAGGCGGAGCCGCAGCGAAAGCGAGUCUGAAUAGGGCGUUUAGUACGUGGUCGUAGACCCGAAACCAGGUGAUCGACCCAUGUCCAGGGUGAAGUUCAGGUAACACUGAAUGGAGGCCCGAACCCACGCACGUUGAAAAGUGCGGGGAUGAGGUGUGGGUAGCGGAGAAAUUCCAAUCGAACCUGGAGAUAGCUGGUUCUCCCCGAAAUAGCUUUAGGGCUAGCCUUAAGUGUAAGAGUCUUGGAGGUAGAGCACUGAUUGGACUAGGGGUCCUCAUCGGAUUACCGAAUUCAGUCAAACUCCGAAUGCCAAUGACUUAUCCUUAGGAGUCAGACUGCGAGUGAUAAGAUCCGUAGUCAAAAGGGAAACAGCCCAGACCGCCAGCUAAGGUCCCAAAGUGUGUAUUAAGUGGAAAAGGAUGUGGAGUUGC
This 762-nucleotide ribosomal RNA is filed under the name Bacillus anthracis (anthrax bacterium). RNAcentral's name for it is "bacterial LSU rRNA". It matches the Rfam family "Bacterial large subunit ribosomal RNA", at positions 322 to 1084 of the family's 2925-position model. Lineage: Bacteria; Bacillati; Bacillota; Bacilli; Caryophanales; Bacillaceae. The record is from RNAcentral.